AUGGUGGCGGCGCUCACCCACGUCAUCAGCUCCACUCGACCGGGACCGGCGGCCGCCGCCGGUGCAACCGCGCCCGGGCAGCAAGCUGUGACCCGCCAACACAGCGCUCCUCUGGCCGUGGCGGCGACGUCGUCGUCAUCAACGGCGUCGGAGCAGCAGCAGCAGCGUCCGCGGUACCGUGGCGUACGGCAGCGGCCGUGGGGCAAGUGGGCGGCGGAGAUCCGCGACCCCGUGAAGGCGGCGCGCGUAUGGCUGGGCACCUUCGACACGGCCGAGGACGCCGCACGCGCCUACGACGCCGCCGCGCUCCGCUUCAAGGGCGCCAAGGCCAAGCUCAACUUCCCUGGCGCCGGCGGUGCGCCUGCGCCACCCCGCCAUGCCGUCGGCCAGCUCCUGGCGCCCGGAGGCGGGGCAUCGCCGUCGAUGCGGCAGCAGCAGCGACCCGUGGUGGUGGCCUUCCGUCCGCAGAUUAACUCCCUGGCAGCCGUUGCUCGGGAGGAGUUCCCGGACCUCCACCGGUAUGCGCACAUACUGCAGAGCGGUGACGUGGACCUGCGGGCUGUUGCAGCCGGCGGGAACACACCGGGGCAGUCGUCUUCGUCGACGCCGGCGCACGACUCGAGGUCGCCGCCCCGGCCGGAUGAUCGCGGAUAUGGCGAGAGAAGUGCAGGCCCUGGCUGCUAA
This 684-nucleotide ribosomal RNA is filed under the name Triticum aestivum (bread wheat). RNAcentral describes it as "partial small subunit ribosomal RNA". The record is from RNAcentral. Lineage: Eukaryota; Viridiplantae; Streptophyta; Magnoliopsida; Poales; Poaceae.